Molecule: ribosomal RNA, 602 nt
Filed under: Klebsiella pneumoniae 909957
Lineage: Bacteria; Pseudomonadati; Pseudomonadota; Gammaproteobacteria; Enterobacterales; Enterobacteriaceae
Description: partial 16S ribosomal RNA
Rfam family: Bacterial small subunit ribosomal RNA (bases 147-602)
Source: RNAcentral
ACUGCUCUUUAACAAUUUAUCAGACAAUCUGUGUGGGCACUCAAAGUGACAUGGAUUCUUAACGUCCUCGGACGAAAAAUGAAUACCAAGUCUCAAGAGUGAACACGUAAUUCAUUACGAAGUUUAAUUCUUUGAGCAUCAAACUUAAAUUGAAGAGUUUGAUCAUGGCUCAGAUUGAACGCUGGCGGCAGGCCUAACACAUGCAAGUCGAGCGGUAGCACAGAGAGCUUGCUCUCGGGUGACGAGCGGCGGACGGGUGAGUAAUGUCUGGGAAACUGCCUGAUGGAGGGGGAUAACUACUGGAAACGGUAGCUAAUACCGCAUAACGUCGCAAGACCAAAGUGGGGGACCUUCGGGCCUCAUGCCAUCAGAUGUGCCCAGAUGGGAUUAGCUAGUAGGUGGGGUAACGGCUCACCUAGGCGACGAUCCCUAGCUGGUCUGAGAGGAUGACCAGCCACACUGGAACUGAGACACGGUCCAGACUCCUACGGGAGGCAGCAGUGGGGAAUAUUGCACAAUGGGCGCAAGCCUGAUGCAGCCAUGCCGCGUGUGUGAAGAAGGCCUUCGGGUUGUAAAGCACUUUCAGCGGGGAGGAAGGCGGU